RNAcentral lists this ribosomal RNA (431 nucleotides) under uncultured bacterium. Its description in RNAcentral is "bacterial SSU rRNA". It matches the Rfam family "Bacterial small subunit ribosomal RNA", at positions 355 to 776 of the family's 1533-position model. The record is from RNAcentral.
UCGAGAAUAGUCUACAAUGGUCGAAAGACUGAUAGUGCGACGCCGCGUGAACGAUGAAGCCCUUCGGGGUGUAAAGUUCUUUUAUAUGUGAGCAAUGCCUGGUAUAUGAAUAGUAUAUUGGGAGCGAUAUUAGCAUAUGAAUAAGCAACGGCUAACUCCGUGCCAGCAGCCGCGGUAACACGGGGGUUGCAAGCGUUGUCCGGAAUUACUAGGCGUAAAGGGCAGGUAGGCGGAUAGAUAAGUUUGAUGUUAAAGGCGACGGCUUACCCGUCGUAAGGCAUUAGAUACUGUUUAUCUGGAAUGCGGUUGGGGAAGACAGAAUUCCUGGUGUAGCGGUGGAAUGCGCAGAGAUCAGGAGGAAUACCAAAAGCGAAGGCAGUCUUCUAAGCCGUUAUUGACGCUAAACUGCGAAGGUGUGGGUAUCAAACAGG